RNAcentral lists this ribosomal RNA (621 nucleotides) under Triticum aestivum (bread wheat). Its description in RNAcentral is "partial small subunit ribosomal RNA". Lineage: Eukaryota; Viridiplantae; Streptophyta; Magnoliopsida; Poales; Poaceae. The record is from RNAcentral.
AUGGAGGCGGUCUUCAGCAGGUCAGCUGAGAUUGCCGGUAUUUCCAACAGGAUGGUGAAUGAUUGGGAAGGAAUAGUCCUCGACUUCCGCAGUAGCGACGAAUCAACAAUUCAUCCAGCAAAUGACCUCCUCGUACAAGCCCUGCAGCAUUAUUUUGGUGACACAUACUUGGCGCAGUCAGUAGUACAACACACCACUGAACUUUGCUCUCACAUGAUUCGUCUCUGGCGAUCCAAGCUGGAGCAAGACGCAGAAUUGAUACACCCAGGUGAGAAGGGUCGAAAGUACAUAUUUCUCUUAAAUAACACAUACGUUGUUCGUCAAACGGUGUCGCGUCAAGGAGCAUAUUUUCCCAAAGUAGAACUGAGGAGUCGGCUCAGUUCAAUGAUCGAGGGAUACAAGAAGGGCUACUUGGACGAGUGUUGGGCUCCUCUGAACCGUUUAAAAUCGGAGGAGUUUACGGCCGAAUUUCUUGCCACCUGUAAUCGCCAGAGGACGUGGAAGGUUACAGCUGAGCUCAGGUACCAACUGCGGCAGGAGAUUCUGGAUUUGGUUGUUUCACAUUCACCGUAUGAGGUAUCCAACGGAAGCUGUAUGAUGGAAGGAUUAUUUGAAGGAUGA